Molecule: ribosomal RNA, 497 nt
Filed under: uncultured bacterium
Lineage: Bacteria
Description: partial 16S ribosomal RNA
Rfam family: Bacterial small subunit ribosomal RNA
Source: RNAcentral
GACGAACGCUGGCGGCGUGCCUAAUACAUGCAAGUCGAGCGGACGAUUCGAAAGCUUGCUUUUGAAUCGUUAGCGGCGGACGGGUGAGUAACACGUGGGCAACCUGCCCUGUAGACGGGGAUAACACCGAGAAAUCGGUGCUAAUACCGGAUAACACGAAAUGUCGCAUGACGUUUCGUUGAAAGGCGGCGCAAGCUGCCGCUACAGGAUGGGCCCGCGGCGCAUUAGCUAGUUGGUGAGGUAACGGCUCACCAAGGCGACGAUGCGUAACCGACCUGAGAGGGUGAUCGGCCACACUGGGACUGAGACACGGCCCAGACUCCUACGGGAGGCAGCAGUAGGGAAUCUUCCGCAAUGGACGAAAGUCUGACGGAGCAACGCCGCGUGAGCGAAGAAGGCCUUCGGGUCGUAAAGCUCUGUUGUUAGGGAAGAACAAGUAACGUAGUAACUGACGUUACUAUGACGGUACCUAACGAGAAAGCCACGGCUAACUACGU